GUUGUCUGGAACAACGUAUGAUAAAGUUAAAUAACUACGGAGAAGAAUAACAUGGUUCUUUACGCAAAGAUGACACGUGUAAUCGAGAAGCGUAUUCAACUUUU
RNAcentral lists this small nuclear RNA (104 nucleotides) under Sinocyclocheilus anshuiensis. Lineage: Eukaryota; Metazoa; Chordata; Actinopteri; Cypriniformes; Cyprinidae. The record is from RNAcentral.